Non-coding RNA from Macrolepiota fuliginosa MF-IS2, 98 nucleotides. The record is from the annotation of a GenBank genome assembly. Lineage: Eukaryota; Fungi; Basidiomycota; Agaricomycetes; Agaricales; Agaricaceae.
GGGCACAUGGUGUAGUUGGUUAUCACGCCCGCUUAGCAUGACUUGCCCUUUGAAAAUAUGUUUGCGGGCGGUCCCCGGUUCAAUUCCGGGUGUGUCCA